GGAGGGCUGACAGAGCGGCCGAAUGUGACGGUCUUGAAAACCGUUGUGCGGCAACCCCGCACCGCGGGUUCGAAUCCCGCGCCCUCCGCCU
RNAcentral lists this transfer RNA (91 nucleotides) under Xylanimonas oleitrophica. Its description in RNAcentral is "Isoptericola sp. PW21 tRNA-Ser". It matches the Rfam family "tRNA". Rfam says of the family: Transfer RNA (tRNA) molecules are approximately 80 nucleotides in length. Lineage: Bacteria; Bacillati; Actinomycetota; Actinomycetes; Micrococcales; Promicromonosporaceae. The record is from RNAcentral.